RNAcentral lists this unclassified non-coding RNA (261 nucleotides) under Glomus sp. Its description in RNAcentral is "partial contains 5.8S ribosomal RNA and internal transcribed spacer 2". The stretch from base 1 to 65 matches the Rfam family "5.8S ribosomal RNA", at positions 84 to 154 of the family's 154-position model. Lineage: Eukaryota; Fungi; Glomeromycota; Glomeromycetes; Glomerales; Glomeraceae. The record is from RNAcentral.
GUGAAUCAUCAAAUUUUUGAACGCAAAUUGCGCUCUCUUCGGAUAGUACGCCUGUUUGAGGGUCAGCCUAAAAAAAAUCGACAUAGUUGGUGUGACGCGGUAACAUUCGUCGGAAAUUGGGUCAUCUUAAACCUUUGGGGUUAAGUGGCUUAAAAUUUUCUUUACGAUUCCAGGAACGUUUCUAAGAUUUUAGUUUCUUAUACGUUUAAGGUAUCGAUCUUUAUUAGACGUGUCCGUUGUAGGGGAUCGUGGGCAUAAAUA